RNAcentral lists this ribosomal RNA (406 nucleotides) under Priestia megaterium. RNAcentral's name for it is "bacterial SSU rRNA". It matches the Rfam family "Bacterial small subunit ribosomal RNA", at positions 36 to 435 of the family's 1533-position model. Lineage: Bacteria; Bacillati; Bacillota; Bacilli; Caryophanales; Bacillaceae. The record is from RNAcentral.
CUGGCGCGUGCCUAAUCAUGCAAGUCGAAGCGACUGAUUAGAAGUUGCUUCUAUGACGUUAGCGGCGGACGGGUGAGUAACACGUGGGCAACCUGCCUGUAAGACUGGGAUAACUUCGGGAAACCGAAGCUAAUACCGGAUAGGAUCUUCUCCUUCAUGGGAGAUGAUUGAAAGAUGGUUUCGGCUAUCACUUACAGAUGGGCCCGCGGUGCAUUAGCUAGUUGGUGGGUAACGGCUCACCAAGGCAACGAUGCAUAGCCGACCUGAGAGGGGAUCGGCCACACUGGGACUGAGACACGGCCCAGACUCCUACGGGAGGCAGCAGUAGGGAAUCUUCCGCAAUGGACGAAAGUCUGACGGAGCAACGCCGCGUGAGUGAUGAAGGCUUUCGGGUCGUAAAACUCUG